CAAGUCGAACGCGAAAGUUCCCUUCGGGGAGCGAGUAGAGUGGCGCACGGGUGAGUAACACGUAGGUAAUCUACCUUUGGAUGGGGAAUAACAACCGGAAACGGUUGCUAAUACCGCAUAAUGCAGCGGCACCUAAUGGUGACAGUUGUUAAAGCGGGGGAUCGAAAGACCUCGCGUCUAAAGAGGAGCCUGCGGCGGAUUAGCUAGUUGGUAAGGUAAUGGCUUACCAAGGCGAUGAUCCGUAACCGGCCUGAGAGGGCGGUCGGUCACACUGACACUGACAUACGGGUCAGACUCCUACGGGAGGCAGCAGUCGGGAAUUUUGGGCAAUGGGCGAAAGCCUGACCCAGCAACGCCGCGUGAAGGAUGAAAUCCCUCGGGAUGUAAACUUCGCAAGAACGGGAAGAAUAAGUUGGUGUGAAUAUCACCAGCGAUGACGGUACCGUUUGUAAGCUCCGGCUAACUCCGUGCCAGCAGCCGCGGUAAUACGGGGGGAGCAAGCGUUGUUCGGAUUUACUGGGCGUAAAGGGCGCGUAGGCGGCCACUGCAAGUCGGUUGUGAAAUCUCCGGGCUUAACCCGGAAAGGUCAAUCGAUACUGCAGGGCUAGAGUGCAGAAGGGGCAACUGGAAUUCUCGGUGUAGCGGUGAAAUGCGUAGAUAUCGAGAGGAACACCUGCGGCGAAGGCGGGUUGCUGGGCUGACACUGACGCUGAAGCGCGAAAGCUAGGGGAGCGAACGGGAUUAGAUACCCCGGUAGUCCUAGCCUUAAACGAUGAAUGCUUGGUGUCU
This 789-nucleotide ribosomal RNA is filed under the name uncultured Actinomycetes bacterium. Its description in RNAcentral is "bacterial SSU rRNA". It matches the Rfam family "Bacterial small subunit ribosomal RNA", at positions 58 to 825 of the family's 1533-position model. The record is from RNAcentral. Lineage: Bacteria; Bacillati; Actinomycetota; Actinomycetes.